AGAGAAAAUAAGGGUUUGCUGCUAACAAAUCUAAGAAAAUAUUUAUUUUCAUUCUCUU
This 58-nucleotide transfer RNA is filed under the name Cichlidarus nyanzae. RNAcentral describes it as "tRNA-Ser". Lineage: Eukaryota; Metazoa; Platyhelminthes; Monogenea; Gyrodactylidea; Gyrodactylidae. The record is from RNAcentral.